UGGGUAGUAGCUCAAUGGUAGAGCACCUGACUGUUAAUCAGGUGGUUCUGGGUUCGAGUCCCAGCUUCCCAGCCA
Molecule: transfer RNA, 75 nt
Filed under: Rhizobium phage RHph_I1_6
Lineage: Duplodnaviria; Heunggongvirae; Uroviricota; Caudoviricetes; Schitoviridae
Description: tRNA-Asn
Rfam family: tRNA
About the family: Transfer RNA (tRNA) molecules are approximately 80 nucleotides in length. Their secondary structure includes four short double-helical elements and three loops (D, anti-codon, and T loops). Further hydrogen bonds mediate the characteristic L-shaped molecular structure. tRNAs have two regions of fundamental functional importance: the anti-codon, which is responsible for specific mRNA codon recognition, and the 3' end, to which the tRNAs corresponding amino acid is attached (by aminoacyl-tRNA synthetases). tRNAs cope with the degeneracy of the genetic code in two manners: having more than one tRNA (with a specific anti-codon) for a particular amino acid; and 'wobble' base-pairing, i.e. permitting non-standard base-pairing at the 3rd anti-codon position.
Source: RNAcentral